RNAcentral lists this long non-coding RNA (584 nucleotides) under Homo sapiens (human). Its description in RNAcentral is "HSALNT0202199". Lineage: Eukaryota; Metazoa; Chordata; Mammalia; Primates; Hominidae. The record is from RNAcentral.
GCAAAUUGAGAGUACUUAAAUAUAUCAUAUCAUCUAUAAAUUGCAAGAUCCUAAGAAGCUUCUCCUGGAACUGAUGAAAAGGAAUGAACAUCACCAAUGAUGUGGUUGGGUAUACAAGAUAUACAUGAGUUAGACAUGACUUUGAAAUAUUUCAAGAUGCUGAGGAAAUAAGUUUACCCUCAGGAGAGCCAUCCCUCCUGUCCAUUCACUAGAGGAUCUGAAGCUGCCAUUAUCUUAACAUUAUGGGUUAGGAGGUAAAACCUGGCCCAUGCUGGGCCUCCCAGAGGUCUUCCCAGCAUUGCUCAGACCUGAGCAGGAAGGCAAAUAGCGUGGUGAGAGGGAGAGAACUUCACGCUCUCCACUUGAAUCUGUAAUAAUGAAAGACCAAAUCUGAGAGUGGAAACGGUCCUAGCCUCAUGCAGGAUGAAGCCAACACAGAAAGAAAAGAGUUGGUGGGAGACCAGAAAAGCCCACGUGGUGCUUGAGUACCUACCUUUGCCACCACUGACUUACAUCAGCCAAAAAUUCACGGCCAACACUGUUUGAUUCAAUCAUCAGCAAUCAACAGAAUCUUUUAAUACAGU